UACGUAGGGUGCAGGCGUUAAUCGGAAUUACUGGGCGUAAAGCGUGCGCAGGCGGUUUGCUGAGACCGGUGUGAAAUCCCCGGGCUUAACCUGGGAACUGCGCUUGUAACUGGCAAGCUAGAGUGUGGCAGAGGGGGGUGGAAUUCCACGUGUAGCAGUGAAAUGCGUAGAGAUGUGGAGGAACACCGAUGGCGAAGGCAGCCCCCUGGGCUAACACUGACGCUCAUGCACGAAAGCGUGGGGAGCAAACAGG
RNAcentral lists this ribosomal RNA (253 nucleotides) under uncultured bacterium. RNAcentral's name for it is "partial 16S ribosomal RNA". It matches the Rfam family "Bacterial small subunit ribosomal RNA", at positions 524 to 776 of the family's 1533-position model. The record is from RNAcentral.